This 460-nucleotide ribosomal RNA is filed under the name uncultured bacterium. Its description in RNAcentral is "partial 16S ribosomal RNA". It matches the Rfam family "Bacterial small subunit ribosomal RNA", at positions 338 to 795 of the family's 1533-position model. The record is from RNAcentral.
CCUACGGGUGGCUGCAGUGAGGAAUUUUGGUCAAUGGGCGCGAGCCUGAACCAGCCAAGUAGCGUGAAGGAUGACUGCCCUACGGGUUGUAACCUUCUUUUAUAAAGGAAUAAAGUGAGGCUCGUGUGCCUUUUUGUAUGUACUUUAUUCUUAAGGUUCGGCUAACUCCGUGCCAGCAGCCGCGGUAAUACGGAGGAUCCGAGCGUUAACCGGAUUUAUUGGGUUUAAAGGGAGCGUAGAUGGGUUGUUAAGUCAGUUGUGAAAGUUUGCGGCUCAACCGUAGAAUUGCAAAUGAUACUGGCAGCCUUGAGUACAGUUGAGGUAGGCGGAAUUCGAGGUGUAGCAGUGAAAUGCUUAGAUAUCACGAAGAACUCCGAUUGCGAAGGCAGCCUACUAAGCUGCCACUGACAUUGAUGCUCGAAAGUGUGGGUAUCAAACAGGAUUAGAUACCCGGGUAGUC